Molecule: long non-coding RNA, 1029 nt
Filed under: Mytilus galloprovincialis (Mediterranean mussel)
Lineage: Eukaryota; Metazoa; Mollusca; Bivalvia; Mytilida; Mytilidae
Source: RNAcentral
GUUCUGGUUGUAUUUAUUUGUUGUUUUUAACUGCAUUCUUUCGGUUAUAAAUGACGUUGUUCCAUAUUGAAGAAUGCUGUUUAUUAUAUUAGGACCAAUGCAAAAUGCCAAAACAUUAAACAAGUUCACAUGAAGGCACUCAAAAGAAGAACCGUUUUCUGAUAUUAUAUAUGAAUCAGUCAAAGCAGUGAAACACAAACGUACUAAUUGUUUUUUUGGCUUCUACCGAAACCUAUCUCUUUCGACAAAAACUUCAGCAUUUUAUCAUGUGUGUGGUUAUCUUGGUCAAAACUGUCCUUUUGGACGCUGUUAUCACAAACAAUCAAAACAGCCAAUGCCAAGUAAAAUUGAUUUAUUGGAUCUUUAAAAUUUUUAAUUUCAGUCUUAAUGUAUUCAACAGGUUUCGUGAAAUAUUCAACAACAUGUAACUGCUCGUUAUUCAUGUUAUUAGAGAAUAUUGCACAAAGCGCGGGAAAGAAAUUGUAGAACGAAACGACAUUUUCUUUCACGUGAUCAAAAGUAUCUUCCCUUAAAUAGCAUAUUCCUAUAUUUUCUAUCUCCUUUGGUGUAAAUGUUAAUUCUUGUGAGAUAAGAUUUAGGGAACAAGCUUUAACAUUCAUGUGUUUUAAAUUUACUAAUCGGUAAAUGUGUAAUCGCGACGUCAUUAGAAGUCUUAAACUUCUAUUUCUUGUCAGGAGAUGUUGAACAGAUUUACCCUGACGCUCCCACCAAAUAGUAUCGUAUUCACUAACGGAAUACUUUCCAAAAACAUCAUCUAUUAGAAAAAGCUGUUUUUGUCCUUUGAUGCAUACCUUAAUAGAUCAUCGGGAUCAGUUAUGAUCAUGACAUCGAAUCCUUGUGUUUUUUCAAGUUUCAUUGCAGUAUGAAAUACUAAAGAAGAUUUUCCGCAUCCAUGUGGUCCACAAAUUAUUAAGCACUGUUCUUCUUUUAUUUUGUUUAUUAUCGCUCUGUGAGCUGUUGUUUCCACAAAAUGAUUAUAUUGUCCGUUCCAUUGUUUUUUCUCAUGUU